RNAcentral lists this ribosomal RNA (730 nucleotides) under uncultured bacterium. Its description in RNAcentral is "bacterial SSU rRNA". It matches the Rfam family "Bacterial small subunit ribosomal RNA", at positions 771 to 1501 of the family's 1533-position model. The record is from RNAcentral.
AACAGGAUUAGAUACCCUGGUAGUCCACGCCGUAAACGAUGUCGACUUGGAGGUUGUGCCCUUGAGGCGUGGCUUCCGGAGCUAACGCGUUAAGUCGACCGCCUGGGGAGUACGGCCGCAAGGUUAAAACUCAAAUGAAUUGACGGGGGCCCGCACAAGCGGUGGAGCAUGUGGUUUAAUUCGAUGCAACGCGAAGAACCUUACCUGGUCUUGACAUCCACAGAACUUGGCAGAGAUGCCUUGGUGCCUUCGGGAACUGUGAGACAGGUGCUGCAUGGCUGUCGUCAGCUCGUGUUGUGAAAUGUUGGGUUAAGUCCCGCAACGAGCGCAACCCUUAUCCUUUGUUGCCAGCGGUCCGGCCGGGAACUCAAAGGAGACUGCCAGUGAUAAACUGGAGGAAGGUGGGGAUGACGUCAAGUCAUCAUGGCCCUUACGACCAGGGCUACACACGUGCUACAAUGGCGCAUACAAAGAGAAGCAAUCUCGCGAGAGCUAGCGGACCUCAUAAAGUGCGUCGUAGUCCGGAUUGGAGUCUGCAACUCGACUCCAUGAAGUCGGAAUCGCUAGUAAUCGUGAAUCAGAAUGUCACGGUGAAUACGUUCCCGGGCCUUGUACACACCGCCCGUCACACCAUGGGAGUGGGUUGCAAAAGAAGUAGGUAGCUUAACCUUCGGGAGGGCGCUUACCACUUUGUGAUUCAUGACUGGGGUGAAGUCGUAACAAGGUAACC